UUGUAGAAACUGCAGCUGCUGGUCCACCGCUACACUCUUCUCCUUCACUACAUAGCCAAGCUUGGAUGGUCCUCAGAGGUCCUCAUAGCCACUUAUCCGGGCUCCGAAUGAUCUCACAACCACCUGAAUUCCUUAAUGCAUCCGCCACUGCAAAAGAUUGAACAUUAUGCAACGAACUGGGCCAGGAGAUUGUUCCAAUUGGGUUCUAUAGUACACUACCCUCCCAGCCCAUGUAAAAUCACUACUCGCCGAUUCAAGCCGAUAAUUCAACUCCAACUGAGGAAGCAACAGGUGUGCACAUAUCACCACCACAAGCUUGUGUGUGGUAAUGGAUCUGGAUCAGUAGGUUCAAAGUCACUGAGAUUGUGGGCUGUGAUGAUUGGAUUGUUGAUGAUGAUUAAUCAAUGGAUUAAUUUUUAAAAAAUAAGUUGUUUAUUCCUCUCUAACUGUAGAGGUGUGUUUUACAUCCCCUUUGAACUUAGAAGCAGUACUUAAAAGAAUGUCUUUUUUCAAGAGUUGUCCAUGCUGGUUGGUUGUACAAGAUGAAGUUGUUCAUUUUAUUCUUUUCUUUUCAAAAAGAGAGAAUAUAGUUUAAUGUAGUUGCUUUACACAAACUUUGUAUGUCUCCAAUAUACGGUAGAGUGUUUUUGUAAAAAGUUGUGAGUAUAAUCAGCUUUGAAAUAAAUCAGUUAAUUAUUUAGUAAAA
Malus domestica (apple) is the source of this 706-nucleotide non-coding RNA. Lineage: Eukaryota; Viridiplantae; Streptophyta; Magnoliopsida; Rosales; Rosaceae. The record is from RefSeq and is a predicted model, not a curated record.